GAUGAACGCUGGCGGCGUGCCUAAUACAUGCAAGUCGAGCGAACAGACGAGGAGCUUGCUCCUCUGACGUUAGCGGCGGACGGGUGAGUAACACGUGGAUAACCUACCUAUAAGACUGGGAUAACUUCGGGAAACCGGAGCUAAUACCGGAUAAUAUAUUGAACCGCAUGGUUCAAUAGUGAAAGACGGUUUUGCUGUCACUUAUAGAUGGAUCCGCGCCGCAUUAGCUAGUUGGUAAGGUAACGGCUUACCAAGGCAACGAUGCGUAGCCGACCUGAGAGGGUGAUCGGCCACACUGGAGCGAAGACACGGUCCAGAAUCCUACGGGAGGCAGCAGUAGGAAAUCUUCCGCAAGGGGCGAAAGCCUGACGAAGCAAGGCAGCGUGAGUGAUGAAGGUCUUGGGAUCGUAAACCUCUGUUAUGAGGGAAGAAGAAAUGUGUAAGUAACAAUGCAGGUCUUGAGGGUCCCUAAUAAGAAGGCCACGGCUAACUACGG
This 496-nucleotide ribosomal RNA is filed under the name uncultured bacterium. Its description in RNAcentral is "partial 16S ribosomal RNA". It matches the Rfam family "Bacterial small subunit ribosomal RNA", at positions 28 to 506 of the family's 1533-position model. The record is from RNAcentral.